RNAcentral lists this ribosomal RNA (440 nucleotides) under uncultured bacterium. RNAcentral's name for it is "partial 16S ribosomal RNA". It matches the Rfam family "Bacterial small subunit ribosomal RNA", at positions 338 to 795 of the family's 1533-position model. The record is from RNAcentral.
CCUACGGGUGGCAGCAGUGGGGAAUAUUGCACAAUGGGGGAAACCCUGAUGCAGCGACGCCGCGUGAGGGAAGAAGUAUCUCGGUACGUAAAGCUCUAUCAGUAGGGAAGAAAAUGACGGUACCUGACUAAGAAGCCCCGGCUAACUACGUGCCAGCAGCCGCGGUAAUACGUAGGCGGCCAGCGUUAUCCGGAUUUACUGGGUGUAAGGGGAGCGUAGACGGCAGGACAAGUCUGGAGUGAAAUCCCGGGGCUUAACCCCGGAACUGCUGUGGAAACUGUGCGGCUGGAGUGCAGGAGGGGUAGGCGGAAUUCCUGGUGUAGCGGUGAAAUGCGUAGAUAUUAGGAGGAACACCAGUGGCGAAGGCAGCUUACUGGACUGUAACUGACGUUGAGGCUCGAAAGCGUGGGGAGCAAACAGGAUUAGAUACCCCUGUAGUC